Gambusia affinis (western mosquitofish) is the source of this 2111-nucleotide long non-coding RNA. RefSeq lists it as uncharacterized. The record is from RefSeq and is a predicted model, not a curated record. NCBI's taxonomy places the organism in Eukaryota, Metazoa, Chordata, Actinopteri, Cyprinodontiformes, Poeciliidae. The transcript is spliced from 5 exons.
UGAACCUUUAUGACAUCAUCGAUGAGAACAUUGAUGACAUGAUGAUGUCAAACAACCUGUGUCAGGUUUUUGUUUGUUUUAGUUGCUAUGGCAACACAAGGAGUUAUGUAUGAGAUAAGACUACUCUCAAUUAAAAAUGCAUGUGUAUACAUCUAGAUUUGUGAAUUUAAGUUAAUAAAUGUGCAUAAAUUUUUUAGCAGCACAGAGGAGCGGGGAAGGACAGGUGGCUACAACAGCCCAGGCAGACACCCAGAGGCAGGUCACCAGCGCCGCAAAGGAGCAGCCACCAUCAGGCCAAGCAGACUCAGGAUUAAACUAGAGAAGAGUUGUAGAUGUUGCGGAGGAGGAAUGUCACUGAGCAUCGGGGGAACUUCAGCACAUCAGAAAUGCUCAUGUAGAAAUCAUCAAGAAGCUGACAGCAUGAAGGUGACCAGCAGACAGAGGAGAGGGGGACGGCACAGCCUGGCCAUGGCUGCUGCAUGGUGGUUGGAGAAGGGGAGCGGCUCUGCCCUGAGAGUGAGAGCUGAGCGACGCAGCAGAAACACAAAAACACUGAAACACACCAGAGGUCAGACAGGCUCCAGGAGAGGUCAUCCUCACCAGCCUCUCCUUCGUUGUCAUAGCGACCUCCAAGGUCAGGAAGCAGAUGGGCAGGUCUGCGUUCUCAACACAGGCUGGGUUCGGUUGUGAUUGGCCCAGUUCCUGUGUAGCUGGAUGUGAGAGUGUUAUCAGAGCUGAAGGGCAGCGGUGGGGCGGGGGGUCUGACUUUGACUUCUUCAGGGUCCGACUAGAGCAGCUGGGCUGCUGCACAGGGUUCCUAUUAUUCAUGCAUUGUGCUGGCAUUGGCAUUACUGGACACCGCUGUGCUGAGAGUGCUGCACCAACUGCCACUUACUGUACAAUGAGGUCUGGAGGAGAACACAGCAGAGGAGGGUUCCUGCCAGGGCCCCUGGAUGACAGCUGCAGGACUGAAUGAAGAGGAUCACAGGAAGGCUUUUACAGAAUAUCAUGGAAGCAUUUCCUACCAGUACUUUACUUCCUGCAACACAUUCCAUCCAUUAGCCUGUGGAGGUUUUGAUCUGCUUUUGUUUUCACUGGCUGUUGAACUCGGUUCAGUUCAAAUCCACAGAAUCACAACAGCAAAGAGUUCAUGUAUCUAUCCUCUGCCUGAACUUUUGGUGACUGCCAGGUCCUGUUCCAUUUCUCCUGCUACCCCUAGACACACGAGUGUAUAUGCAGUGCUCAUAUUUUGCAUUAUAGAUUAGCAAUGCUGCCUGGUUGCGUGUCGAAGCACACAGUUCAGAGUCUGGGCUGGAUUUACUGCAACAUUGAUUCCCAGGAAGAUUAGAGGCUAUCUUUCUAUUUCAUUGUUUGAAUAAUUUUUCUCACCGCUGGAUAAGGUUUUUAAACUUGUUUUAAAAUUCUUUUAGAAACAAUUGCUUCUCAGGUGAUUUCUGAAGUCUUUCCUGGUAAUACACACCUGUGUGUUCCAGACCUGCAGACUGUGUUUUACAUGGGUGAUCAAACUGAGGAUGAUUACUGCAUCAGGUGCUUUAGUUUUAGAUCUGCGCCUGGAUGCCUCCUUAUCUUCUACAUUUUGUGAAAAUGGCAAAGACAUGCUCAGUUUUUAACACUGAGGUUCCCCAUUUUUGCCUAGCUGACUGUAUUAAUUUUUUUUCUUUUUUUUUCUUUUUUUACUGGAAAUAUUUUACAAUCUGGUGAGGAACAGAAAAUGUGGAUGACGCACUGGAGGCGAGGAACAGAUCUGUUUUCUCCUGAACUCAGCGGUGCAGCCUGCUCUCUGCCCAGCUCCUCCACAUUACAGCUGCCUGAUUACAGUUGUCGUCCUCUGCUCAUCCUGCGGUGAAGCUCCAGCACCUUCCAGGCUCAUCUUGUGGAGAAGACUGUCCUCCCCUCUGCCCUCCUCCUGAGCUCUUGAUUAGUAGCCAGACUGAGCAGCAACAUGUGGCUAAUCGCUGCUGUCUGCCUCCUCUGCUCUCUACACCAGGAUAAUAACCUGACAUUUCACCACAGGAGUUCUGUAAGGAUCCAUUUUAUAUGAGAACUCCUCAGAUUAACUGCAUUACACGACCAUUAUGAGUAUAAUUGAC